UAGGUGAACCUUCGGAAGGAUCA
This 23-nucleotide ribosomal RNA is filed under the name Plagioporus carolini. RNAcentral describes it as "partial 18S ribosomal RNA". Lineage: Eukaryota; Metazoa; Platyhelminthes; Trematoda; Plagiorchiida; Opecoelidae. The record is from RNAcentral.